This 253-nucleotide ribosomal RNA is filed under the name uncultured bacterium. RNAcentral's name for it is "partial 16S ribosomal RNA". It matches the Rfam family "Bacterial small subunit ribosomal RNA", at positions 524 to 776 of the family's 1533-position model. The record is from RNAcentral.
UACGGAGGGGGCUAGCGUUGUUCGGAAUUACUGGGCGUAAAGCGCACGUAGGCGGCUACUCAAGUCAGAGGUGAAAGCCCAGGGCUCAACCUUGGAACUGCCUUUGAAACUAGGUAGCUAGAAUUCUGGAGAGGUCAGUGGAAUUCCGAGUGUAGAGGUGAAAUUCGUAGAUAUUCGGAAGAACACCAGUGGCGAAGGCGACUGACUGGACAGAUAUUGACGCUGAGGUGCGAAAGCGUGGGGAGCAAACAGG